CCCUUAGAUGUCCUGGGCCGCACGCGCGCUACACUGACAUGUUCAACAAGCCUCCUAGUUCGACAGGAUUUGGGAAAUCUUUGAACGCAUGUCGUGAUAGGGAUAGAUCAUUGCAAUUAUUGAUCUUGAACGAGGAAUUCCUAGUAAACGCGAGUCAUCAGCUCGCAUUGAUUACGUCCCUGCCCUUUGUACACACCGCCCGUCGCACCUACCGAUUGAAUGUUUCGGUGAAGAUUCCGGAUAGGACUUUUUUGAUUUAUUUCAAUUUUGUCUUAAAAGCUAUCUAAACCUCAACAUUUAGAGGAAGGUGAGGUCGUAACA
RNAcentral lists this ribosomal RNA (321 nucleotides) under uncultured eukaryote. RNAcentral describes it as "partial 18S ribosomal RNA". It matches the Rfam family "Eukaryotic small subunit ribosomal RNA", at positions 1470 to 1796 of the family's 1831-position model. The record is from RNAcentral.